AAAAGCUACUAAGGGUGUAUGGGGAAUACCUAGGCAGUAAGAGGCGAAGAAGGACGCGUGCUAGUCCGCGAAAGCUUCGGUGAGCCGUCAAGCAGGCUUUGAACCGGAGGUGUCCGAAUGGGGAAACCCCUUCAUUGGAAACAGUGAAGACUCCACACCGAGUCAAGUAGGUGUGAGAGAGCGAACCCAGGGAACUGAAACAUCUAAGUACCUGGAGGAAAAGUAAUCAACCGAGAUUCCGCUAGUAGUGGCGAGCGAACGCGGAAAUGCCCAAACCGACAAGCAUGCUUGUCGGGGUUGUAGGACUUGCAUAAUGGAAGCGAAGGUAGAAGAAGUGUCUGGGAAGGCACACCAAAGAGGGUGAAAGUCCCGUAAUCGAAACCUAAGCGACUUGGCGAGUAUCCUGAGUAGGACGGGACACGUGUAAUCCUGUCUGAAUCUGGGGGGCCCACCCUCCAAGGCAAAAUACUAAUUACUGACCGAUAGUGAACAAGUACCGUGAGGGAAAGGUGAAAAGAACCCCGACGAGGGGAGUGAAAUAGAAUUUGAAACCGUACACUUACAUACAGCGAGAGGGUUAUUGAAAUGCCUGAUCGCGUACCUUUUGCAUUAUGAGUCGCCGAGUUACGGUAUGUGGCAAGGUUAAGCCGUUGAAGGUGUAGCCGUAGGGAAACCGAGUCUGAAUAGGGCGAAUAGUCGCAUGCCGUAGACCCGAAACGGGAUGAGCUAACCAUGGACAGGCUGAAGCGAGGGUAACACUUCGUGGAGGGCCGAACUCAUGAAUGCUGAAAAAUUCUGGGAUGAUCUGUGGUUAGGGGUGAAAGGCCAAUCAAAUUCCGUGAUAGCUGGUUCUCUCCGAAAUGUAUUUAGGUGCAGCGUCUAGUGAUUGCUGUCGGGGGUAUAGCACUGACUUGGCUAGGGGUCUUACCGGACUACCAAACCAUAUCAAACUCAGAAUACCGACAAGUAGAGCUAGGCAGUAAGACUGCGGGUGCUAAGGUCCGUAGUCGAGAGGGAAAGAGCCCAGAUCGCUAGCUAAGGUCCCAAAAUCGUAUCUAAGUGGGGAAGGUUGUGGAAUUACUUUGACAUCCAGGAGGUUGGCUUAGAAGCAGCCAUCCUUUAAAGAAAGCGUAAUAGCUCACUGGACCAGUGAUUCUGCGCCGAAAAUGUAACGGGGCUAAAGAUACGUACCGAAGCUGCGAACUAAUUUAGUGGUAGGAGAGCAUUGUGUGUGCUGAUGAAGGCGUACUGUAAGGAGCGCUGGAGGUCCCACAAGAGCUGAUGGCGACAUGAGUAGCGAUAAGAAAUGUGAGAAUCAUUUCCGCCGAAAAUCUAAGGGUUCCUGGGCCAGGUGACUCCGCCCAGGGUUAGUCGGAUACUAAGGCGAGGCCGAAAGGCGUAGUCGAUGUAUAACAGGUUAAUAUUCCUGUACUUGGUAAAGAUCGUUUGACUUGAUGGAGUGACGGGGAAAGAUAGCGGGGCCACCUGUUGGAUGGUGGUUUAAGCAUGUAGAGGGAUGUCCUAGGUAAAUCCGGGAUGUCAUUAACCUCGAGAUGUGAAUACGAGGGCCUGGCCCGAAGUCUGUGACUCUAUGCCUCCAAGAAAAGCUUCGCAAGGAGAGCUUUAUCAAUCCGUACCGUAAACCGACACAGGUAGAUGAGGAGAGAAUCCUCAGGCGUUUGGGAUAACUCUAGUUAAGGAACUCUGCAAAUUGGUGCCGUAACUUCGGGAGAAGGCACGCCUUUGUUGGUGACAUCACUUGCUGGUGAAGCUGACGAGGGUCGCAGUGAAAAGGGGGUAGCGACUGUUUAUCAAAAACACAGGUCUCUGCAAACACGGAAGUGGAUGUAUAGGGGCUGACGCCUGCCCGGUGCUGGAAGGUUAAAAGGAGGAGUUAGGGUAACCGAAGCUCCGAAUCGAAGCCCCAGUAAACGGCGGCCGUAACUAUAACGGUCCUAAGGUAGCGAAAUUCCUAGUCGGGUAAGUUCCGACCUGCACGAAUGGCGUAACGACUUCCCCACUGUCUCAACUGGAGCCCCAGCGAAAUUGGAGAACGCGUGCAGAUACGCGUAACCCGCGGUAGGACGAAAAGACCCCGUGAACCUUUACUGUAGCUUGGCAUUGGGUUUCGAGUGACAUUGCGUAGGAUAGGUGGGAGCUGUUGAUCCGUGCGUUCCGGCGUACGGGGAGGUACCGUUGAAAUACCACCCUAUGUUACUUGGAAUCCUAACCUACGAUCAUGAACUGGUCGGGGGACAAUGUCUGGUGGGCAGUUUGACUGGGGCGGUCGCCUCCCAAAGAGUAACGGAGGCGCACGAAGGUUCCCUCAGGCCGAAUGGAAACCGGCCGUAGAGUGUAAGCGCAUAAGGGAGCUUGACUGCGAGGCAAGCAAGCCGAGCAGAUGCGAAAGCAGGUGCUAGUGAUCCGGUGGUUCCGAGUGGAAGGGCCAUCGCUCAACGGAUAAAAGGUACUCCGGGGAUAACAGGCUGAUCGCUUCCAAGAGUUCACAUCGACGAAGCGGUUUGGCACCUCGAUGUCGGCUCAUCGCAUCCUGGGGCUGGAGCAGGUCCCAAGGGUUUGACUGUUCGUCAAUUAAAGCGGUACGCGAGCUGGGUUCAGAACGUCGUGAGACAGUUCGGUCUCUAUCCACCGUGGGCGUAAGAGAUUUGAGGGAAUCUGACCUUAGUACGAGAGGACCGGGUUGGACGAACCUAUGGUGAACCGGUUGCGGCGCCAGCUGCAUCGCCGGGUAGCUACGUUCGGAAGGGAUAACCGCUGAAAGCAUCUAAGUGGGAAACCCAUCCUAAGAUAAGAUCUCUAUGAGGCAACUUGAAGACAACGAGUUUGAUAGGUCGGAGGUGUAAGUGCAGUAAUGCAUUGAGCUGACCGAUACUAAUUAGCCGAUUUGCUUUU
Molecule: ribosomal RNA, 2913 nt
Filed under: Candidatus Berkelbacteria bacterium
Lineage: Bacteria; Candidatus Berkelbacteria
Description: 23S ribosomal RNA
Rfam family: Bacterial large subunit ribosomal RNA
Source: RNAcentral